This 497-nucleotide ribosomal RNA is filed under the name uncultured bacterium. RNAcentral describes it as "partial 16S ribosomal RNA". It matches the Rfam family "Bacterial small subunit ribosomal RNA", at positions 28 to 507 of the family's 1533-position model. The record is from RNAcentral.
GAUGAACGCUGGCGGCGUGCCUAAUACAUGCAAGUCGAGCGAACAGACCAUGCGCUUGUUCCUCUGUCGUUAGCGGCGGACGGGUGAGUAACACGUGUAUAACCCACCUAUCUUUCUGGGAUCACUUCGGGAAACCGGCUCUAAUACCGGAUAAUAUCUUGAACCGCAUGGUUCAUUGGUGAAAGACGGCUUUGCUGUCUCUUAUCGAUGGAUCCCCGCUGUAUUAUCUAGUUGUUAGGGUAACGGCUUACCAAGGCUACGAUGCGUAGCCGAAGUGAGAGGGGGAUAGGCGACACGGGAACGGAGCCGGGGUCAAGGGUACUAAGGGAGGGAGCAGUAGGGAAUGUUAGGCAAUGGGCGAAAGCAUGACGGAGUAAGGCCGCGUGAGUGAUGAAGGUGUUCGGAUCGGAAAGAUCUGUUAUUAGGGAAGAACAGAUGUGGAAGUAAAUAUGCACGGAGUGACGGUAACGAAUCAGAAAGCAACGGCUAACUACGUG